RNAcentral lists this ribosomal RNA (253 nucleotides) under uncultured bacterium. RNAcentral's name for it is "partial 16S ribosomal RNA". It matches the Rfam family "Bacterial small subunit ribosomal RNA", at positions 524 to 776 of the family's 1533-position model. The record is from RNAcentral.
CACGUAGGGCGCGAGCGUUGUCCGGAAUUAUUGGGCGUAAAGAGCUCGUAGGCGGCCUGUUGCGUCCGCUGUGAAAGCCCGGGGCUUAACCCCGGGUCGGCAGUGGAUACGGGCAGGCUAGAGGUAGGUAGGGGAGAAUGGAAUUCCCGGUGUAGCGGUGAAAUGCGCAGAUAUCGGGAGGAACACCGGUGGCGAAGGCGGCAACCUGGUCCUUGACUGACGCUGAGGCGCGAAAGCGUGGGGAGCAAACAGG